This 792-nucleotide non-coding RNA is filed under the name Merops nubicus (carmine bee-eater). RNAcentral's name for it is "Eukaryotic small subunit ribosomal RNA". It matches the Rfam family "Eukaryotic small subunit ribosomal RNA", at positions 861 to 1408 of the family's 1831-position model. The record is from Rfam by way of RNAcentral. Lineage: Eukaryota; Metazoa; Chordata; Aves; Coraciiformes; Meropidae.
GGCCAUGAUUAAGAGGGACGGCCGGGGACAUUCGUAUCAUGCCACUAGAGGUGAAAUUCUUGGACCGGCGCAAGAUGGCCCAGAGCAAAAGCAUUUGCCAAGAAUGUUUUCAUUAAUCAAGAACUAAAGUCGGAGGUUCGAAGAUGAUCAGAUACUGUCGUAGUUCCGACCAUAAACGAUGCCAACUGGCAAUCCGGCGGCGUUAUUCCCAGGACCCGCCGGGCAGCUCCCAGGAAACCCAAGUCUUUGGGUUCCGGGGGGAGUAUGGUUGCAAAGCUGAAACUUAAAGGAAUUGACGGAAUGGCACCACCAGGAGUGGAGCCUGCGGCUUAAUUUGACUGAACACGGGAAACCUCACCCGGCCCGGACACGGACAGGAUUGACAGAUUGAGAGCUCUUUCUCGAUUCCGUGGGUGGUAGUGCAUGGCCGUUAUUAGUUGGUGGAGUGAUUUGUCUGGUUAAAAAUCAUCAAAGUAACUCUUAGAUAAGAGGCACUUACUAAAUGUCAAGGUAAAAACUGCAAUAAGAGACUCUAUGGCCAUGUUCCUAGCUUUUGGAAUAUAUAAUUUCGAUCAUGUGGAGGGUAAUCAAAAAUGCUCACAGCUAUAAGUAUCUGGCUGACUUUUCAUCUUUCCUGAACAUCACCCUAACCUCUAUAGUCUCUAGUUGCUUUGAUUACAAUCUGCUUACCCUGGAGGGUCACAGCUCACUUGAGAAGAAGUAACUUCACAAGAUAGAAGUUUUGCUACAGGCAGAUCUCCUAUUUUUUUGUUUCAUGUGUCCAGAUCAAGU